AGAGGUCCAAAGAAUGCUCGUGAAACUAUGAAAAACAUUGGCCCAGCUUUUGGUGUGCCACACAGCCAUUCCAAACCACAUGUGCGAUCAAAGGGAAGGAAGUUUGUGAGAGUUAGAGGGACAAGGAAUAGCAAAGGAUUUAGAGUUUGAGUUGUUUUUAGUUCCAAAAUGUCAGUCAAUUAUUUUAUUUUUGAUUAUUAUGUCCCAAAUUUUGUUAGACUCUAGGUUCCAAUGGAACUUGUUUAUGUUAUUAUUAAUUCCUAGCUUGAAUUGUUUAUGUUAUCUAUAUAUAAUAUUGAUUGAU
This 304-nucleotide unclassified non-coding RNA is filed under the name Hevea brasiliensis (rubber tree). The record is from RNAcentral. Lineage: Eukaryota; Viridiplantae; Streptophyta; Magnoliopsida; Malpighiales; Euphorbiaceae.